RNAcentral lists this ribosomal RNA (1688 nucleotides) under Salmonella enterica subsp. enterica serovar Muenster. RNAcentral describes it as "bacterial LSU rRNA". It matches the Rfam family "Bacterial large subunit ribosomal RNA", at positions 1271 to 2925 of the family's 2925-position model. Lineage: Bacteria; Pseudomonadati; Pseudomonadota; Gammaproteobacteria; Enterobacterales; Enterobacteriaceae. The record is from RNAcentral.
UGCUGGAGGUAUCAGAAGUGCGAAUGCUGACAUAAGUAACGAUAAAGCGGGUGAAAAGCCCGCUCGCCGGAAGACCAAGGGUUCCUGUCCAACGUUAAUCGGGGCAGGGUGAGUCGACCCCUAAGGCGAGGCCGAAAGGCGUAGUCGAUGGGAAACGGGUUAAUAUUCCCGUACUUGGUGUUACUGCGAAGGGGGGACGGAGAAGGCUAUGUUGGCCGGGCGACGGUUGUCCCGGUUUAAGCGUGUAGGUGUGUGUUCCAGGUAAAUCCGGUUCACUUUAACACUGAGGCGUGACGACGAGGCACUACGGUGCUGAAGCAACAAAUGCCCUGCUUCCAGGAAAAGCCUCUAAGCAUCAGGUAACAUCAAAUCGUACCCCAAACCGACACAGGUGGUCAGGUAGAGAAUACCAAGGCGCUUGAGAGAACUCGGGUGAAGGAACUAGGCAAAAUGGUGCCGUAACUUCGGGAGAAGGCACGCUGACACGUAGGUGAAGUGAUUUACUCAUGGAGCUGAAGUCAGUCGAAGAUACCAGCUGGCUGCAACUGUUUAUUAAAAACACAGCACUGUGCAAACACGAAAGUGGACGUAUACGGUGUGACGCCUGCCCGGUGCCGGAAGGUUAAUUGAUGGGGUCAGCGCAAGCGAAGCUCCUGAUCGAAGCCCCGGUAAACGGCGGCCGUAACUAUAACGGUCCUAAGGUAGCGAAAUUCCUUGUCGGGUAAGUUCCGACCUGCACGAAUGGCGUAAUGAUGGCCAGGCUGUCUCCACCCGAGACUCAGUGAAAUUGAACUCGCUGUGAAGAUGCAGUGUACCCGCGGCAAGACGGAAAGACCCCGUGAACCUUUACUAUAGCUUGACACUGAACAUUGAGCCUUGAUGUGUAGGAUAGGUGGGAGGCUUUGAAGUGUGGACGCCAGUCUGCAUGGAGCCGGCCUUGAAAUACCACCCUUUAAUGUUUGAUGUUCUAACGUGGACCCGUGAUCCGGGUUGCGGACAGUGUCUGGUGGGUAGUUUGACUGGGGCGGUCUCCUCCUAAAGAGUAACGGAGGAGCACGAAGGUUGGCUAAUCCUGGUCGGACAUCAGGAGGUUAGUGCAAUGGCAUAAGCCAGCUUGACUGCGAGCGUGACGGCGCGAGCAGGUGCGAAAGCAGGUCAUAGUGAUCCGGUGGUUCUGAAUGGAAGGGCCAUCGCUCAACGGAUAAAAGGUACUCCGGGGAUAACAGGCUGAUACCGCCCAAGAGUUCAUAUCGACGGCGGUGUUUGGCACCUCGAUGUCGGCUCAUCACAUCCUGGGGCUGAAGUAGGUCCCAAGGGUAUGGCUGUUCGCCAUUUAAAGUGGUACGCGAGCUGGGUUUAGAACGUCGUGAGACAGUUCGGUCCCUAUCUGCCGUGGGCGCUGGAGAACUGAGGGGGGCUGCUCCUAGUACGAGAGGACCGGAGUGGACGCAUCACUGGUGUUCGGGUUGUCAUGCCAAUGGCACUGCCCGGUAGCUAAAUGCGGAAGAGAUAAGUGCUGAAAGCAUCUAAGCACGAAACUUGCCCCGAGAUGAGUUCUCCCUGAGACUUUAGGUCUCCUGAAGGAACGUUGAAGACGACGACGUUGAUAGGCCGGGUGUGUAAGCGCAGCGAUGCGUUGAGCUAACCGGUACUAAUGAACCGUGAGGCUUAACCUUACAACGCCGAAG